GAUGAACGCUGACAGAAUGCUUAACACAUGCAAGUCGAUUCAAAAGUUCCUUUCGGGGAACGGAGAGAUGGCGGACGGGUGAGUAACGCGUAAGGAACUUGCCUUUUGGCUGCAACAACUGUUGGAAACGACAGCUAAUACCGGAUAUUAUGAGAUUCUGGCAUGGGAAACUUAUGAAAGCUAUAUGCGCCAAAAGAGAGCCUUGCGUUCCAUUAGCUAGUUGGUGGGGUAACGGCCCACCAAGGCGACGAUGGAUAGCCGGCCUGAGAGGGUGAACGGCCACAAGGGGACUGAGACACGGCCCUUACUCAUACGGGAGGCAGCAGUGGGGAAUAUUGGACAAUGGGCCACAAGCCUGAUCCAGCAAUUCUGUGUGCACGAUGAAGGUUUUCGGAUCGUAAAGUGCUUUCAGUUGGGAAGAAGAAAGUGACGGUACCAACAGAAGAAGCGACGGCUAAAUACGUGCCAGCAGCCGCGGUAAUACGUAUGUCGCAAGCGUUAUCCGGAUUUAUUGGGCGUAAAGCGCGUCUAGGCGGAAAAGAAAGUCUGAUGUUAAAACGCGGGGCUCAACUCGGUAUUGCGUUGGAAACUGCUUUUCUAGAGUACUGGAGAGGUGGGCGGAACUACAAGUGUAGAGGUGAAAUUCGUAGAUAUUUGUAGGAAUGCCGAUGGAGAAGUCAGCUCACUGGACAGAUACUGACGCUAAAGCGCGGAAGCGUGGGGAGCAAACAGG
This 733-nucleotide ribosomal RNA is filed under the name uncultured bacterium. RNAcentral's name for it is "bacterial SSU rRNA". It matches the Rfam family "Bacterial small subunit ribosomal RNA", at positions 28 to 776 of the family's 1533-position model. The record is from RNAcentral.